GAUGAACGCUAGCGAUAGGCUUAACACAUGCAAGUCGAGGGGCAGCACAAGGUAGCUUGCUAUCUGGGUGGCGACCGGCGCACGGGUGCGUAACGCGUAUGCAACUUGCCCUAUACAGGAGGAUAACCCGUCGAAAGACGGACUAAUACUGCGUAUGCUCACAACUUGGCAUCAAGUGGUGAGGAAAGAAAUUCGGUAUAGGAUAGGCAUGCGUCCCAUUAGCUUGUUGGUGAGGUAACGGCUCACCAAGGCAACGAUGGGUAGGGGAACUGAGAGGUUUACCCCCCACACUGGUACUGAGACACGGACCAGACUCCUACGGGAGGCAGCAGUGAGGAAUAUUGGUCAAUGGGCGCGAGCCUGAACCAGCCAAGUCGCGUGAAGGAUGACUGUCUUAUGGAUUGUAAACUUCUUUUAUACGGGAAUAACAAGAGUCACGUGUGACUCCCUGCAUGUACCGUAUGAAUAAGCAUCGGCUAACUCCGUG
Molecule: ribosomal RNA, 487 nt
Filed under: uncultured bacterium
Lineage: Bacteria
Description: partial 16S ribosomal RNA
Rfam family: Bacterial small subunit ribosomal RNA
Source: RNAcentral